RNAcentral lists this ribosomal RNA (253 nucleotides) under uncultured bacterium. RNAcentral describes it as "partial 16S ribosomal RNA". It matches the Rfam family "Bacterial small subunit ribosomal RNA", at positions 524 to 776 of the family's 1533-position model. The record is from RNAcentral.
GACAGAGGGUGCGAACGUUGUUCGGAAUUACUGGGCGUAAAGCGCAUGUAGGCGGCAGCGCAAGUCAGGCGUGAAAUCCCACGGCUCAACCGUGGAAGUGCACUCGAAACUGCGCAGCUAGAGUCCUGGAGAGGAAGGUGGAAUGCUUGGUGUAGAGGUGAAAUUCGUAGAUAUCAAGCGGAACACCGGUGGCGAAGGCGGCCUUCUGGACAGUGACUGACGCUGAGAUGCGAAAGCGUGGGGAGCAAACAGG